Molecule: ribosomal RNA, 445 nt
Filed under: uncultured bacterium
Lineage: Bacteria
Description: bacterial SSU rRNA
Rfam family: Bacterial small subunit ribosomal RNA
Source: RNAcentral
ACCAGACUCCUACGGGAGGCAGCAGUGGGGGAUAUUGCACAAUGGGGGGAACCCUGAUGCAGCGACGCCGCGUGAGUGAAGAAGUAUCUCGGUACGUAAAGCUCUAUCAGCAGGGAAGAAAAUGACGGUACCUGACUAAGAAGCCCCGGCUAACUACGUGCCAGCAGCCGCGGUAAUACGUAGGGGGCAAGCGUUAUCCGGAUUCACUGGGUGUAAAGGGAGCGUAGACGGCGACGCAAGUCUGGAGUGAAAGCCCGGGGCCCAACCCCGGGACUGCUCUGGAAACUGCGUCGCUGGAGUACGGGAGGGGCAGGCGGAAUUCCUGGUGUAGCGGUGAAAUGCGUAGAUAUCAGGAGGAACACCGGUGGCGAAGGCGGCCUGCUGGACUGCAACUGACGUUGAGGCCCGAAAGCGUGGGGAGCAAACAGGAUUAGAUACCCGAGUA